AUGAGUGUUUGCACAUGUGUGUGCCGGCAUGUCUCUGUGUGUGUGCAUCCAUGUAUUUGCACAACACUUGUAUGUAUGUGCGUGUGCUCAUACACGUUUGUGCAAUGGCUGUGCAGCACCUACAUCACUGACAGAGCCUGCUGCCUGCAGGCACCACGUGGAUGCACACGUUUGCACACUCAUGUGUAUGUAUGUUGCACGUCUGGAUGUGCAUGCUCACACGUGCGUGUGCAAGGGCUGCACAGCGCCCACAGUAGAGCUUGUGAGCUGGCUGCUUCCUGCUGGCACAAUACACGAGGCCCUGUGCUUGCACACACGCGUGCAUGCAUGUCUAUAUGCAUGUGUGCUCCCGCGUGCUUGUGCCUCAGCAGUGCAGCAACUGCAGCACUCGUGAACCACCCAUCACCCUUGCACACAUGCGUGUGCAUGCACUAUGCAAGUCUGUACAUGUGUGUGUGCAAUGCCUGUGUGAUAUGUGUGUAUGUGUGUGUGCAUAACGGGGCGUGCAACACCAGCACCACUUGCCGAGCGCAGUUGCUCCCUCUCGCCUGCUUGCACACUAUGUGUGCACAUAUGUGUGUGUGUACAUGUGCGUGCACAACAAACGCGUAUGCAUGCAUGUGUAUGUAUAUGUGUGCACGCUCACACGUGUGUGCACAACGGCUUUGCAGCACCCAAAGCACUGACGGAGCCCAUGUGUCGACUGCUGCCUGCAGGCACCACGUGUUGGCACACGUGUUUGCACACUCACGUGCAUAUAUAUUGCAUGUCUCUAUAUAUGGGUGUGCACACGUGGUUGUGCAAGAGGUGCACAGCACCCAGGGCACUGGCAGCGCCUGCAAGCUGAUGGCUUCCUGCUGGUGCGACACACUCAGCCUUGUGCUUGCACACACGUGCAUGCAUGUCUAUAUGUGCGUGUGCUCACAAGUGCGUGUGCCACAGCAGCUCAUGCUCCCAGCAUUUGCACGCCAACCGCCAUCUGCCAGCAACACACAGACGCUUGCACACACGUGUGCGCGCAUCAUGCAUGUCUAUACACCUGUGUGCUUAUGUGUGUGCACUACGGGUGCUUGA
Molecule: long non-coding RNA, 1074 nt
Filed under: Coturnix japonica (Japanese quail)
Lineage: Eukaryota; Metazoa; Chordata; Aves; Galliformes; Phasianidae
Description: lncRNA (ENSCJPG00005004999.1)
Source: RNAcentral